This 288-nucleotide RNase P RNA is filed under the name Syntrophales bacterium. RNAcentral's name for it is "partial RNase P RNA component class A". It matches the Rfam family "Bacterial RNase P class A", at positions 89 to 367 of the family's 367-position model. From Rfam's summary of the family: Ribonuclease P (RNase P) is a ubiquitous endoribonuclease, found in archaea, bacteria and eukarya as well as chloroplasts and mitochondria. Its best characterised activity is the generation of mature 5'-ends of tRNAs by cleaving the 5'-leader elements of precursor-tRNAs. Lineage: Bacteria; Pseudomonadati; Thermodesulfobacteriota; Syntrophia; Syntrophales. The record is from RNAcentral.
UGGGGGAGACCCUAAGGAAAGUGCCACAGAAAAUAUACCGCCUGCUUUUAAGCAGGCAAGGGUGAAAAGGCGAGGUAAGAGCUCACCAGUUUCCCGGGUGACCGGGAAAGCUUGGUAAACCCCAUCCGGAGCAAGACCAAAUAGGAGAACAUUAAGGGUGGUCCGCCCGACGUUCUCGGGUAGCGUCGCUUGAGGCAACAGGCAACUGUUGUCCCAGAGGAAUGAUCACCACCGCCUUUCGGGCAACCGGGGGCGGCACAGAACUCGGCUUAUGAGCUGCUCCGACGU